This 73-nucleotide transfer RNA is filed under the name Gefionella okellyi. RNAcentral's name for it is "tRNA-Ser". It matches the Rfam family "tRNA". From Rfam's summary of the family: Transfer RNA (tRNA) molecules are approximately 80 nucleotides in length. Their secondary structure includes four short double-helical elements and three loops (D, anti-codon, and T loops). The record is from RNAcentral. Lineage: Eukaryota; Malawimonada; Malawimonadea; Malawimonadida; Malawimonadidae.
GGAUUGAUAGCUUAAUUGGUAAAGUAUCAAUUUUGAAAAUUGACUAUUGUGAGUUCAAUUCUCACUCAAUCUA